GCUUUAAUAAUUUAAAUAAAAUAUUGAUCUUGUAAAUCAAAAAUAAGCAAUAGCUUUUAAAGCU
Molecule: transfer RNA, 64 nt
Filed under: Agrilus sp. AGR01
Lineage: Eukaryota; Metazoa; Arthropoda; Insecta; Coleoptera; Buprestidae
Description: tRNA-Thr
Source: RNAcentral